This 214-nucleotide unclassified non-coding RNA is filed under the name Hevea brasiliensis (rubber tree). The record is from RNAcentral. Lineage: Eukaryota; Viridiplantae; Streptophyta; Magnoliopsida; Malpighiales; Euphorbiaceae.
GUUUGGGUUAGCAAACUUGUUGCCGUGGGACACCCUUGUGUGAGGGAAGCUUGUUGCCGUGAGGUUCUUGAGACCCUUUGUGGUUGGGUUGGUUGCCGUGGAUCCUUGAGGUGGAUUGGUAGCCGUGAGCAUCCCUUGGGACACUUGGUGUUGGAGUUCUUGCAAGUUGCCGUGGGCUUCCUUUGCGAACCUCUUGUUGUUUGGUUGUGGCCGU